ACCCAGUUCAGACUUUUGUUUUGACAUGCUUUUACUUUGUUUAUCCCAAUAAUGGUACAAUAGGUUGUGGAAGUGCUUUGAUAAUAGGCUUUAAUCUUCUUUGCCGAGGCGGAUCACAAUUUUAAGUCCACGGUUGUGGAGUACUGGACCCGUUCCCAUCUUGUGACAAGUAGUGCACGCAAAGGACAUGUACAUAGGUGUAAUGUGGUCUCUAUUUAAAAGAGUCGGGUCUUCUACUGUUGCAGCCUGUAGCUUAAGCCUUACCUUCCAUUGUUAUAUAUCUAGACAUUACAUGAAAGUAAGUAUUAUCUACUGUGAAGAUGAAGAAAUUGGGAAGCACAUAGCAUAAUACACAAGUAGCAUAAAGUGUGAACUUCAUGCAACCAAGGUAGUGGCCUAGUGAUCAAUGAGGUAGAUGCACGAAUCACAGCUUAGACAAAAAAAAACUAGGCUAUUUUUCCAUCUUCUUAAGCCUUGGUGGACAGAGUGCCCAGUACCUGUGAUGGUGGGAGGUUGCAGUAUCGGGUAGAAUUGUUGAGGUGUGCACAAGCUAACUCAGACGCUACAAUUAUCAAAUAAGAAAACAGUGCGGACAUCAUGCUAUUAUGGGUUUUAUUUAUCCCUCUUGUCUUGAUAGAAAAAAGUAUGGGCCAUUAUUAUACCUGUUUUUUUGAUAAGGUAUCAUUACUGUAAUACCUUAUCAAAAGUUUGACCUACAAAUGUGAAAUGGACCUACAAAAGUUUGACUGGGACUAUUAAAAGCUUCAAAUGGUAGCAUUUUUGAGUAGAAGGUACUCUAACACUUAAAUUUUAUAUUCUAAAGUUGGCUCUUUAGAACCAGCAUAUCUGUUAGUGUGAACAGACACAUAGACAUGGAUUGUAAUGUAAGGAUUAAUAAUGUUUGGAUUCUAAUUAAGUAUUAAUAAUUUAGAUGGUAAUGACGGUGCUAAUUCUCAA
Solanum pennellii is the source of this 957-nucleotide long non-coding RNA. RefSeq lists it as uncharacterized. Lineage: Eukaryota; Viridiplantae; Streptophyta; Magnoliopsida; Solanales; Solanaceae. The record is from RefSeq and is a predicted model, not a curated record. The transcript is spliced from 2 exons.